UAUUACCCAAUUAAACAAAAUAAAAAGACAUCAUCUACAAAACCCAGGAAUCACACAAACUGCAAGCAAAGCAAGUCGCGAGUUACAGCUACAGAGCACCAAAGGAAACAACAAUUACAUUGAAAUGCACAAUCCUGCGGCUUGGACUCUUCUCCAUCUCUAUGCAGCCGAUGGAACAUGAACUCCGUUCGCAACCUUGUGAUUCUUUGGCGGCUUCGCCGCCACCCCCUCCACAGCGCCGCCACGGAACUUCUGUACAUCCGCCACGGCAGCCUGCUUGAACAGCCCUAUAUCCACCCCUCCCGCCACAAAAUUAUACCCCCUCUCCCUCAUCGCCUGCGGCGAAUGCUGCGCAGUCGAAAUCCCGCCAAGGUAAGGCCCAGCCCGACCCUUCUGCAUUGCCAGCACCCGCUUCUCAGCCCCCAGCAGCACCUCCUUCACCCUCGCAUUCGCUGGAUCGCGCAAAUACCCCAUGCUGGCCCCAAGAUCCCUCGGCCCCAUCUGAAUGGCGUCGACUCCGUCAACUCCGGCAAUCCCCUCAAUAUUGUCGACUCCAGUCUCGGUCUCCACCAUGCACAUGAUCAACAACUCCUCCUCGCACCUCUCAACGUAACUUUCAUCUGUUCCGUACCCAGAAGCCCUUACCAUGACAUGGGCCGUCCCGCGGAUGCCGCGGGGCGGGUAGCGGCAGUAGCUGACAACCUGCGCCGCCAUGGCGGCAUUCUCAACCAUGGGGAACAUGAUACCCUGGGGUCCAAGGUCGAGCGCCUUCUUUGUCCAGGCAGCAGAUUUUUCGGGGACGCGGAUGACGGCAGGGGUGCCGGCAGCAGCGAGUGCGCGGACACAGGAGAGGGCAUCAGCAAUACCGCCAGGGCCGUGCUCCAUGUCGACCACUACAAAGUCAUAGCCAGAGAGGCCGAGAAUCUCUGCGAUGGUCGGGGAGGCGCUCAUUAGGAAGAGCCCGUAGAGGGUCUCGCCGGCGGCUACCCGUGUUUUCAGAAGCUUUUUCUUGCUGUCAGUGGCAGGGGUGUAGGCGGCGGGGUCUGGGGUGAGGAGAAACGGAGGUGGGACAUCGACGGGAGAGGUGAUGAUGGUUGUAGAUUUUGGGUCGGCUUUGAUGUAAUGGUUGUCGGCUGUGGCUGUGGCAGAGGGGAUAUUGUCGGAUUUGAGGAAGUGGGUUUCGGGGUGGCGGUCCUUGGAGAAGAAGUGAGGGGUAAGAGUUCCGUUGGAGGGAGUGGAGGAGUCUGAGGAGGCCAUGGCGAUUGCUCUCUCCGGCGAGCAGCGGCUGGUGGUGGUGGAUAUGGGCG
RNAcentral lists this unclassified non-coding RNA (1307 nucleotides) under Hevea brasiliensis (rubber tree). Lineage: Eukaryota; Viridiplantae; Streptophyta; Magnoliopsida; Malpighiales; Euphorbiaceae. The record is from RNAcentral.